Molecule: non-coding RNA, 1439 nt
Organism: Danio rerio (zebrafish)
Lineage: Eukaryota; Metazoa; Chordata; Actinopteri; Cypriniformes; Danionidae
Source: RefSeq, a predicted model, not a curated record
CUAACACCAGGCAGAGAGUUUAAAUGCCACCAGUGCAGUUGGUGUGGAGCAGUUGUCGUCCACAGAUCUUCUUCAGAAACACCCACAAACGCUCACAAGGACCUGUACAGCUUUUCAGAGGAGACACAGCACAGCCGGUGGACUCUAAACCAGCAAAGACAUGGAGCUUUUCGAGACCAACCCCUACUUUUUCAACGACCAGCGUUUUUACGAAGGCGCCGAUAAUUUCUUCCAGUCCAGAAUCAAUGGUGGCUUCGAGCAAGCCGGAUAUCAGGACAGGAGCUCCAUGAUGGGCUUGUGUGGGGAUGGACGGAUGCUGACCACCACAGUUGGGUUGGAAGACAAACCAUCUCCAUCGUCCAGCCUCGGUUUGUCCAUGUCUCCUCAUCAGGAGCAACAGCACUGCCCCGGCCAGUGUCUCCCCUGGGCCUGCAAGGUGUGCAAGCGCAAGUCAGUGACUAUGGAUCGAAGAAAGGCCGCUACCUUGAGAGAGAAGAGGAGGUUGAAGAAGGUGAACGAGGCCUUUGAGGCUCUGAAGAGGAGCACAUUGAUGAACCCCAACCAGAGGCUGCCGAAGGUGGAGAUCCUGCGCAGUGCUAUACAGUACAUCGAGAGGCUGCAGGCACUGGUCAGUUCACUCAACCAGCAGGAGCAUGAACAGGGGAAUCUGCAUUAUAGAGCCACAGCCGCUGCUCCACAUACUGGGGUGAGUGCAGAUUUGGAGAACAAGACAGGUGUCGUCCUCUAGUGAUCAGGGCUCUGGCAGCACCUGCUGCAGCAGUCCAGAAUGGAGCAGCGCGUCUGAUCACUGUGUCCCCGCCUAUAGCUCCGCCCACGAGGAUCUGCUGAACGACGACUCGUCAGAGCAAUCCAACCUGAGGUCUCUGACGUCUAUAGUGGACAGCAUAACGGGAACAGAGGCGACUCCAGUGGCCUAUUCAGUGGACAUAAGCAAAUAAAUCAGAAGGCCGACUCACCGUUACCUUCAGACCAGCUUUCACUGACCACAACAGCAACAUUAGACAAAGCUUUUGCAAGUUAGACAAGCCUUGGAGGGCUUAAUUUCCAGACAAAUCUCGAGGUCCAUUUGAUUAUAUUUCCAAAUGUUUCUUAUCUCUGUGGAAAUAAGAAUGAAUUUCAGAUCCCCCUGCUGAAACUUAAGGCAGUCAGGAAGGCUGAUUCAUAUUUUCAUAGUUUGAUUCCUUUAUUUUUGCAUUCUGAUUUUGUGUGUGCUUUAUGCUUACCAAUGACAAAAUAUUUGUGGGUCCAAUGCUUUUGACCAAUUUUAUUUUAAUUUAAACUAGUUCCGAAUGCCAGUCUUGUAAAUAUGUUCCUAUUUUCUACAGAGUGCUUUUUGUUAUGUUAUUUUGUAUUUUUUUCCCUGUGUGUUUGCUAUUAUUUAUUUGGACUUUUAUAAUAAAGAUUGUUGUGUAUUUGUA